GACGAACCGUGCGAACGUUAUUCGGAUUCACUGGGCUUAAAGGGCGCGUAGGCGGCGAUUCAAGUCUGGGGUGAAAGCCUUCGGCUUAACCGGAGAAGUGCCUUGGAUACUGGAUCGCUCGAGGGGGAUAGGGGCAUGCGGAACUUCCGGUGGAGCGGUGAAAUGCGCAGAUAUCAGGAAGAACACCAAUGGCGAAAGCAGCUUUCUGGGACGGUACUGACGCUGAGACGCGAAAGCGUGGGGAGCGAACAGG
RNAcentral lists this ribosomal RNA (253 nucleotides) under uncultured bacterium. RNAcentral's name for it is "partial 16S ribosomal RNA". It matches the Rfam family "Bacterial small subunit ribosomal RNA", at positions 524 to 776 of the family's 1533-position model. The record is from RNAcentral.